This 301-nucleotide ribosomal RNA is filed under the name uncultured bacterium. RNAcentral describes it as "partial 16S ribosomal RNA". It matches the Rfam family "Bacterial small subunit ribosomal RNA", at positions 509 to 808 of the family's 1533-position model. The record is from RNAcentral.
CAGUAGCCGCGGGAAUACGUAGGUCCCGAGCGUUGUCCGGAUUUAUUGGGCGUAAAGCGAGCGCAGGCGGUUAGAUAAGUCUGAAGUUAAAGGCUGUGGCUUAACCAUAGUACGCUUUGGAAACUGUUUAACUUGAGUGCAAGAGGGGAGAGUGGAAUUCCAUGUGUAGCGGUGAAAUGCGUAGAUAUAUGGAGGAACACCGGUGGCGAAAGCGGCUCUCUGGCUUGUAACUGACGCUGAGGCUCGAAAGCGUGGGGAGCAAACAGGAUUAGAUACCCCGGUAGUCCCUGUCUCUUAUACC